ACGCUGGCGGCGUGCCUAACACAUGCAAGUCGAACGGAGAUACGAUUUCGGUUGUAUCUUAGUGGCGAACGGGUGAGUAACGCGUGAGCAACCUGACUCUUAGAGGGGGAUAACACUGGGAAACGAGUGCUAAUACCGCAUAAGACCACGACAUGGCAUCAUGACGAGGUCAAAGGAGCAAUCCGCUGAGAGAGGGGCUCGUGUCCCAUUAGAUAGAUGGCGGGGUAACGGCCCACCAUGUCAACGAUGGGUAGCCGAGCUGAGAGGCUGAUCGGCCACACUGGAACUGAGACACGGUCCAGACUCCUACGGGAGGCAGCAGUGGGGAAUAUUGGGCAAUGGGCGCAAGCCUGACCCAGCAACGCCGCGUGAGGGAAGAAGGCUUUCGGGUUGUAAACCUCUGUCCUUGGUGACGAAACAAAUGACGGUAGCCAAGGAGGAAGCCCCGGCUAACUACGUG
Molecule: ribosomal RNA, 460 nt
Filed under: uncultured bacterium
Lineage: Bacteria
Description: bacterial SSU rRNA
Rfam family: Bacterial small subunit ribosomal RNA
Source: RNAcentral